Small nucleolar RNA from Tachyglossus aculeatus (Australian echidna), 137 nucleotides. The record is from RefSeq and is a predicted model, not a curated record. NCBI's taxonomy places the organism in Eukaryota, Metazoa, Chordata, Mammalia, Monotremata, Tachyglossidae.
UCCCUCUCAAGAUCACACCUGGAGAGUUUCCAGUACUCUACCAGCCUCAGCUAUGGGAGGAAGAGUCCAGCAGAAGCAUACACUUUCCAUUAUUAGCUUGGCCGUGGCUAGCAAGUGGAAGGCAAUCUGCUACAAGU